ACUUGUUUCCCCUGGGACAGAAACUUUGAAAAGCAGCGCCUUUGGGAGAGGAAUAAGGAAGGGAGUGGGAACUGCACCAUUUUGUACCUAUAUUUCGUAAGCCACUAAGCUUUACCAUGCACCAAGCACCAUUUUUGAAGGCUAGCCAAGCUGUCCAUUUUUCUCAAGCAAGGCGGAUUUCUCCUGUUGCAACAGUCCCUCCUGUGAUAGGCUUGCUUCUACUUGUACGAGGAGCCCUGAAAUCCUUGGCAUCUUCUCCUGGGGGGUCAGGCUGAAGGACCGCACCUCUCACACCUGUGUCUGCUCAGGCCCCUCAGUGUCUGUUGGAUGACAACAAAGAACAACGUCAUUCAACAGACGUCCUUUGCCAAGAGCAGCUCCCACCUGGGAACAUCCACCCCGGAGGAGACAGUCCCUUUGCCAAGAGACAGAGGCUGGUGUCACUGGCUUUGCGAGGAGGAAGACAACUGGCGUCAGGCACUGUGCUGCGGACACGCUAAGAAUUCUGAUUUUAUAGGUUCCUCCCAACCAUUCCGAGUGGGAACAUUUCUGUCCCUUUGUUUUCAUAGAAGAGGGAACAGGAGCUCGGAGGCAGUCAGCGGUUUUCCAGAGCGACAGGUCUGACAGAGAGCCCCGUCUGCCUCCUGCAAACCCGACCGCCUCUUUGUGGGCGAAGGAGGUGCUAUCACAGACGAAAGAAUUAACCAGCCCUGGCUGGGUUUUCUCAGUGGUUAGAGCAUCGUCCCUCAGACUGAAGGGUCACAG
Long non-coding RNA from Myotis brandtii (Brandt's bat), 765 nucleotides. RefSeq lists it as uncharacterized. The transcript has 3 exons. Lineage: Eukaryota; Metazoa; Chordata; Mammalia; Chiroptera; Vespertilionidae. The record is from RefSeq and is a predicted model, not a curated record.